Molecule: unclassified non-coding RNA, 614 nt
Filed under: Cortinarius sp. 7 CG-2012
Lineage: Eukaryota; Fungi; Basidiomycota; Agaricomycetes; Agaricales; Cortinariaceae
Description: sequence contains ITS1, 5.8S rRNA gene, ITS2
Rfam family: 5.8S ribosomal RNA (bases 242-395)
Source: RNAcentral
UAUUGAAAUAAACCUGAUAGGUUGUUGCUGGCUCUUUCGGGAGCAUGUGCACGCUUGUCAUCUUUAUAUUUCCACCUGUGCACCUUUUGUAGAUCUGGAUAUCGUUCUGAAUGCCCUGGUAUUCAGGUUUGAGGAUUGACUUUUGUCUUUCUUUACAUUUUCAGGUCUAUGUUUUCUUCAUAUACACCAUGUAUGUUAUAGAAUGUAUUGAGAAAAGGCCUUUGUGCCUACAAAUCUAUACAACUUUCAGCAACGGAUCUCUUGGCUCUCGCAUCGAUGAAGAACGCAGCGAAAUGCGAUAAGUAAUGUGAAUUGCAGAAUUCAGUGAAUCAUCGAAUCUUUGAACGCACCUUGCGCUCCUUGGUAUUCCGAGGAGCAUGCCUGUUUGAGUGUCAUUAAUAUAUCAACCUCCUCAGGUUUCUUACUUGUUGAGUGUUUGGAUGUGGGGGCUCUUUUUUGCUGGUCUCUUUUGAGGUCGGCUCCCCUGAAAUGCAUUAGCGGAACAAUUUGUUGAAUCGUUCAUUGGUGUGAUAACUAUCUACGCUAUUGACGUGAAGCAGAGUUUAGCUUCUAACAGUCUAUUGACUUGGACAAAUUUUCAUUAAUGUGACCUC